RNAcentral lists this ribosomal RNA (207 nucleotides) under uncultured bacterium. RNAcentral describes it as "partial 16S ribosomal RNA". It matches the Rfam family "Bacterial small subunit ribosomal RNA", at positions 568 to 774 of the family's 1533-position model. The record is from RNAcentral.
CGCGUAGGCGGCUAUUCAAGUCAGAUGUGAAAGCCCGCGGCUCAACCGUGGAAGUGCAUUUGAAACUGUGUAGCUUGAGUACUGGAGGGGGUAGUGGAAUUCCCGGUGUAGAGGUGAAAUUCGUAGAUAUCGGGAGGAAUACCGGUGGCGAAGGCGACUACCUGGCCAGAUACUGACGCUGAGGUGCGAAAGCGUGGGGAGCAAACA